RNAcentral lists this ribosomal RNA (550 nucleotides) under Debaryomyces prosopidis. RNAcentral describes it as "partial large subunit ribosomal RNA". It matches the Rfam family "Eukaryotic large subunit ribosomal RNA", at positions 75 to 641 of the family's 3401-position model. The record is from RNAcentral. Lineage: Eukaryota; Fungi; Ascomycota; Pichiomycetes; Serinales; Debaryomycetaceae.
UUGCCUUAGUAACGGCGAGUGAAGCGGCAAAAGCUCAAAUUUGAAAUCUGGCACCUUCGGUGUCCGAGUUGUAAUUUGAAGAAGGUAACUUUGGAGUUGGCUCUUGUCUAUGUUCCUUGGAACAGGACGUCACAGAGGGUGAGAAUCCCGUGCGAUGAGAUGCCCAAUUCUAUGUAAAGUGCUUUCGAAGAGUCGAGUUGUUUGGGAAUGCAGCUCUAAGUGGGUGGUAAAUUCCAUCUAAAGCUAAAUAUUGGCGAGAGACCGAUAGCGAACAAGUACAGUGAUGGAAAGAUGAAAAGAACUUUGAAAAGAGAGUGAAAAAGUACGUGAAAUUGUUGAAAGGGAAGGGCUUGAGAUCAGACUUGGUAUUUUGCGAUCCUUUCCUUCUUGGUUGGGUUCCUCGCAGCUUACUGGGCCAGCAUCGGUUUGGAUGGUAGGAUAAUGACUAAGGAAUGUGGCUCUACUUCGGUGGAGUGUUAUAGCCUUGGUUGAUACUGCCUGUCUAGACCGAGGACUGCGUCUUUGACUAGGAUGCUGGCAUAAUGAUCUU